Molecule: ribosomal RNA, 350 nt
Filed under: uncultured Paenibacillus sp.
Lineage: Bacteria; Bacillati; Bacillota; Bacilli; Caryophanales; Paenibacillaceae
Description: bacterial SSU rRNA
Rfam family: Bacterial small subunit ribosomal RNA
Source: RNAcentral
GACGAACGCUGGCGGCGUGCCUAAUACAUGCAAGUCGAGCGGACUUGAUGGAGUGCUUGCACUCCUGAAGGUUAGCGGCGGACGGGUGAGUAACACGUAGGCAACCUGCCCUCAAGACUGGGAUAACUACCGGAAACGGUAGCUAAUACCGGAUAAUUUAUUUCACAGCAUUGUGGAAUAAUGAAAGACGGAGCAAUCUGUCACUUGGGGAUGGGCCUGCGGCGCAUUAGCUAGUUGGUGGGGUAACGGCNCACCAAGGCGACGAUGCGUAGCCGACCUGAGAGGGUGAACGGCCACACUGGGACUGAGACACGGCCCAGACUCCUACGGGAGGCAGCAGUAGGGAAUCU